RNAcentral lists this ribosomal RNA (354 nucleotides) under uncultured bacterium. RNAcentral's name for it is "bacterial SSU rRNA". It matches the Rfam family "Bacterial small subunit ribosomal RNA", at positions 8 to 349 of the family's 1533-position model. The record is from RNAcentral.
AGAGUUUGAUCAUGGCUCAGGAUGAACGCUAGCUACAGGCUUAACACAUGCAAGUCGAGGGGAAACGACAUCGAAAGCUUGCUUUUGAUGGGCGUCGGCCGGCGCACGGGUGAGUAACGCGUAUCCAACCUGCCCACCACUUGGGGAUAACCUUGCGAAAGUAAGACUAAUACCCAAUGACGUCUCUAGAAGACAUCUGAAAGAGAUUAAAGAUUUAUCGGUGAUGGAUGGGGAUGCGUCUGAUUAGCUUGUUGGCGGGGUAACGGCCCGACCAAGGCGACGAUCAGUAGGGGUUCUGGAGAGGAAGGUCCCCCACAUUGGAACUGAGACACGGUCCAAACUCCUACGGGAGCA